AAAAUAAAACUUUAAAGAAUCAAAUGAUAUUUUAAGUUUUAUCGAAUAUCCGGUGGAAUUCUCCUUGUAUCUAGGACCUACCUAACCUGCAAAAUAAUCCAAAUAACAUUUCUAAAAUAUAUAUUCCAUAUUCACAUCUCACCAAACAUCAUAUGACUUCUCUAAAUCAAUAAAAAAUCAUAUAAUUAAAUAUAAAAUAAUUAUUUAAAAAUUCAGAGUGUUACAUAAUCAAUAUUUUAUUUUAUUUUACAUUUUAUUGCAG
RNAcentral lists this unclassified non-coding RNA (262 nucleotides) under Hevea brasiliensis (rubber tree). The record is from RNAcentral. Lineage: Eukaryota; Viridiplantae; Streptophyta; Magnoliopsida; Malpighiales; Euphorbiaceae.